AGUGAACGCUGGCGGUAGGCCUAACACAUGCAAGUCGAACGGCAGCACAGUAAGAGCUUGCUCUUACGGGUGGCGAGUGGCGGACGGGUGAGGAAUACAUCGGAAUCUACUUUUUCGUGGGGGAUAACGUAGGGAAACUUACGCUAAUACCGCAUACGACCUACGGGUGAAAGCAGGGGAUCCUCGGACCUUGCGCGAUUGAAUGAGCCGAUGUCGGAUUAGCUAGUUGGCGGGGUAAAGGCCCACCAAGGCGACGAUCCGUAGCUGGUCUGAGAGGAUGAUCGGCCACACUGGACCUGGAACGCGGUCCGGACUCCUACGGGAGGCGGCAGUGGGGAAUAUUGGACAAUGGGCGCAAGCCUGAUCCAGCCAUACCGCGUGGGUGAAGAAGGCCUUCGGGUUGUAAAGCCCUUUUGUUGGGAAAGAAAAGCAGCAGGUUAAUACCCCGCUGUUCUGACGGUACCCAAAGAAUAAGCACCGGCUAACUUCGUG
Molecule: ribosomal RNA, 492 nt
Filed under: uncultured bacterium
Lineage: Bacteria
Description: partial 16S ribosomal RNA
Rfam family: Bacterial small subunit ribosomal RNA
Source: RNAcentral